CGUGGCAGCGAGCUUCUUCAUGCAAGUCGAGCGAAUGGAUUUCAGAAGCUUGCUCUUUAUGAAGUUAGCGGCGGACGGGUGAGUAACACGUGGGUAACCUGCCCAUAAGACUCGGGAUAACUCCGGGAAACCGGGGCUAAUACCGGAUAACAUUUUGAACCGCAUGGUUCGAAAUUGAAAGGCGGCUUCGGCUGUCACUUAUGGAUGGACCCGCGUCGCAUUAGCUAGUUGGUGAGGUAACGGCUCACCAAGGCAACGAUGCGUAGCCGACCUGAGAGGGUGAUCGGCCACACUGGGACUGAGACACGGCCCAGACUCCUACGGGAGGCAGCAGUAGGGAAUCUUCCGCAAUGGACGAAAGUCUGACGGAGCAACGCCGCGUGAGUGAUGAAGGCUUUCGGGUCGUAAAACUCUGUUGUUAGGGAAGAACAAGUGCUAGUUGAAUAAGCUGGCACCUUGACGGUACCUAACCAGAAAGCCACGGCUAACUACGUGC
RNAcentral lists this ribosomal RNA (496 nucleotides) under Bacillus thuringiensis. Its description in RNAcentral is "bacterial SSU rRNA". It matches the Rfam family "Bacterial small subunit ribosomal RNA", at positions 37 to 508 of the family's 1533-position model. The record is from RNAcentral. Lineage: Bacteria; Bacillati; Bacillota; Bacilli; Caryophanales; Bacillaceae.